This 286-nucleotide ribosomal RNA is filed under the name uncultured Peptoniphilus sp. RNAcentral's name for it is "partial 16S ribosomal RNA". It matches the Rfam family "Bacterial small subunit ribosomal RNA", at positions 80 to 354 of the family's 1533-position model. Lineage: Bacteria; Bacillati; Bacillota; Tissierellia; Tissierellales; Peptoniphilaceae. The record is from RNAcentral.
ACGGGCGAAGAUAAGACGGAUUAGCGGCGGACGGGUGAGUAACACGUGAGUAACCUGCCUUUACACAGGGAUAGCCUCGGGAAACCGGGAUUAAAACCUGAUGAAACUAUCAAAUCACAUGAUUAAGAAAGUUAAAAACUCCGGUGGUAAAAGAUGGACUCGCGUCCCAUUAGCUAGUUGGUGAAGGUAACGGCCCACCAAGGCAACGAUGGGUAGCCGGCCUGAGAGGGUGAACGGCCACAUUGGAACUGAGAAACGGUCCAAACUCCUACGGGAGGCAGCAGGU